CCCUUCUCUUCUUCGAUUCUAGUAGAAAUUUUCUAUACUUUUCUCUCGGUGGAGUAACAUGGCGGAUGCUUACUGGAGAUACACCAGCGGUGGGCAGCAGCAGGCGGCUCCGGCGGCGUCGGCGGCUCUUGCUCCAUUCGUGGCGAAACGUCCUCGCAGCGAAUACGAUGCUCCAAGUGGUCCUGAAUAUCCUGGUUAUUAUGGCCGUGAUGCUGAAAGGGGAAUGCCUCGAGUCGGGAGAGACGCAGAUCCUAUUGAAGCAUCCUAUGAGCGCUACCUCCGUAGUGGGCAAAUUUCCUCCCAUGUUGCCAGUGAGUCUGCAAGAUCCUUACAUAGUGGAAUUAGUGGCCAUCCCCCUAUCGAUGAUCCACGUGUUAUGGGCAUUGGGGGAUCCGACCCGCUAGCUUUUAAAAGCAGGAAUGUUGGAAUGGUAGCUGGCAGACCAGAAGCUACCCUUCCUCCGGAUGCUAGCAGUACAUUGUUUGUAGAGGGUUUGCCUGCGGAUUGUACAAGAAGAGAGGUGUCACAUUUAUUCCGCCCUUUUUUAGGUUACAAAGAAGUUAGGCUGGUACCAAAAGGAUCAAGACAUGCUGGAGGCGAUCCUUUGAUUCUUUGCUUUGUUGAUUUCGUUAGUCCCCUUCAUGCAGCUACUGCAAUGGAUGCAUUACAAGGUUAUAAAUUCGAUGAGCAUGAGCGUGAUUCAGUUAGCUUAAAGCUGCAAUUUUCUCGCAAUCCUGGUGCUAGGUCAGGUGGAGGGCAUCGUGGAAAACGUUGAAACUAUGCGUAUUUACAGGACUUGCCCAAGUUCGGAGAUAUAUAAUACUUAGCGACGUUAUGCCGGCUUUGCAGUUUCUUGUGCGACGUGUUUUUCUGAUCGGGCGCUUUCGUUAGGACCACCUCGAAAAUGCUGGGUUUUAUUUUAUUUUAGGGGGAGGAAGUGGUAGUUGCUAAGAAUGCGUUUAGCUUUCGUUUCAACCUCAACUUUACUGGACCCCAUGUGUUAAAUUUUAUAUCUGGAUGGACGAGAGAUGGUUUACCUUGAAUCUUGCGCAUAGUAUAUUAACACGUACCUGUAAU
Molecule: unclassified non-coding RNA, 1077 nt
Filed under: Hevea brasiliensis (rubber tree)
Lineage: Eukaryota; Viridiplantae; Streptophyta; Magnoliopsida; Malpighiales; Euphorbiaceae
Source: RNAcentral